Molecule: ribosomal RNA, 492 nt
Filed under: uncultured bacterium
Lineage: Bacteria
Description: partial 16S ribosomal RNA
Rfam family: Bacterial small subunit ribosomal RNA
Source: RNAcentral
AGUGAACGCUGGCGGUAGGCCUAACACAUGCAAGUCGAACGGCAGCACAAUAAGAUCUUGCUCUUACGGGUGGCGACUGGCGGACGGGUGAGGAAUACAUCGGAAUCUACUUUUUCGUGGGGGAUAACGUAGGGAAACUUACGCUAAUACCGCAUACAACCUACCGCUGAAAGCAGUGGAUCUUCGCACCUUUCGCGAUUCAAUUAGCCGAUGUCGGAUUAGCUAGUUGGCGUGGUAAAGGCCCACCAAGGCGACGAUCCGUAGCUGGUCUGAGAGGAUGAUCAGCCACACUGGAACUGAGACACGGUCCAGACUCCUACGGGAGGCAGCAGUAGGGAAUAUUGGACAAUGGGCGCAAGCCUGAUCCAGCCAUGCCGCGUGGGUGAAGAAGGCCUUCGGGUUGUAAAACCCUUUUGUUGGGAAAGAAAAGCAGCAGGUGAAUACCCCGCUGUUCUGACGGUACCCAAAGAAUAAGCACCGGCUAACUUCGUG